GAUGAACGCUGGCGGCGUGCCUAAUACAUGCAAGUCGAGCGAACAGAUGAGGAGCUUGCUCCUCUGACGUUAGCGGCGGACGGGUGAGUAACACGUGGAUAACCUACCUAUAAGACUGGGAUAACUUCGGGAAACCGGAGCUAAUACGGGAUAAUAUAUUGAACCGCAUGGUUCAAUAGUGAAAGACGGUUUUGCUGUCACUUAUAGAUGGAUCCGCGCCGCAUUAGCUAGUUGGUAAGGUAACGGCUUACCAAGGCAACGAUGCGUAGCCGACCUGAGAGGGUGAUCGGCCACACUGGAACUGAGACACGGUCCAGACUCCUACGGGAGGCAGCAGUAGGGAAUCUUCCGCAAUGGGCGAAAGCCUGACGGAGCAACGCCGCGUGAGUGAUGAAGGUCUUCGGAUCGUAAAACUCUGUUAUUAGGGAAGAACAAAUGUGUAAGUAACUAUGCACGUCUUGACGGUACCUAAUCAGAAAGCCACGGCUAACUACGUG
This 497-nucleotide ribosomal RNA is filed under the name uncultured bacterium. RNAcentral's name for it is "partial 16S ribosomal RNA". It matches the Rfam family "Bacterial small subunit ribosomal RNA", at positions 28 to 507 of the family's 1533-position model. The record is from RNAcentral.